Molecule: non-coding RNA, 21 nt
Filed under: Caenorhabditis elegans
Lineage: Eukaryota; Metazoa; Nematoda; Chromadorea; Rhabditida; Rhabditidae
Source: RNAcentral
UUCCACUAUAAUACUCCCUAC